This 948-nucleotide ribosomal RNA is filed under the name Triticum aestivum (bread wheat). RNAcentral's name for it is "partial small subunit ribosomal RNA". Lineage: Eukaryota; Viridiplantae; Streptophyta; Magnoliopsida; Poales; Poaceae. The record is from RNAcentral.
AUGGCUCCUUCAAUCGUCUGCAACGAUGCGAUCCAGGGUGAGGUUUUCCUCCCCGGACAAAUUUUCGUAUUCGGCGGCUUCGUACUGCGGGCCAACUCGCUUGGCCAUCUGGAGCAGAUUGAUAGCUACGCCCCUGGCCAUCAGGUCAGCUUUGGAAGCUUGAACUAUACUGCCGACAUCCGCGGAAACUGGAUCUUCGACGGAUUCGAGCCCAUGUCAGGUGCGCCGAACAGUCACGUCGAGCAUGACUUAGAUCUGCCAUCAGACGGUGUUCGGGAUAUCACACCUACGGCUGCUCCGGCUCUUAAUUCAGAGCAGAUUGUGCCAUCCAAGGACGGGUGGAUAGACUCUGCCACGUUGACCGCACACCUAUCGGCGCUAGAGCCGAGCACAAUCUUCACCUCCAAAGAGAUCUGUGUCGUCGGACCCUCAGGCUCAUCUCCGACCAUAGGUUCCGAACCACGUGCGUCCGUGCCUAUCGAAUCUGAUUGGGCACCGAUCAUGGAGUUUACCUCCGUGGAUAUCUUUCAGCACUCGCCCUUGGGCAAUGUGCUAAAUUCAUUAAGGUCUCUUUCUCUGUCAGGGGACUCUUGGCCGAACUAUGUCCGGCUUGAGUGGGAAGCUGACGACGAAGAAAUUCGUUCCCCACCCACCACCCACUUGAUAGCCACUGUCGAUGACUUAACCAACAUGCUUGACUUUGACUCCGAAGACAUCGACGGUAUGGAUGACGAUUUAGGAGAAGAACAGGAACCAUCGCCCAUAGGGAACUGGACAGCCACCUCAUCAUAUGAUAUAUACAUAGUGGACACCCCCAGAGAAAGCAAUGGCGACGAGGCAACGGAGGACAAUCCCCUUGCGAAGCAAUCUAAGCACCGGCAUCAUAGGCGCCGCUCUAAGCCCCAUCAUAGAAAAAAUAGUGAUACGAGCACAAGAGAUGGUAGCUGA